This 253-nucleotide ribosomal RNA is filed under the name uncultured bacterium. RNAcentral describes it as "partial 16S ribosomal RNA". It matches the Rfam family "Bacterial small subunit ribosomal RNA", at positions 524 to 776 of the family's 1533-position model. The record is from RNAcentral.
UACGGAGGGUGCAAGCGUUAUCCGGAUUCACUGGGUUUAAAGGGUGCGUAGGCGGGCAUUUAAGUCAGUGGUGAAAUACCUGAGCUUAACUUGGGAACUGCCAUUGAUACUAUUUGCCUUGAAUGUCGUGGAGGUUAGCGGAAUAUGUCAUGUAGCGGUGAAAUGCUUAGAUAUGACAUAGAACACCUAUUGCGAAGGCAGCUAACUACGCGAAUAUUGACGCUGAGGCACGAAAGCGUGGGGAUCAAACAGG